CGGACGGGUGAGUAACGCGUGGAUAACCUGCCGUAUACUGGGGGAUAGCACUUAGAAAUAGGUGCUAAUACCGCAUAAGCGCACAGUCUCGCAUGAGACGGUGUGAAAAACUCCGGUGGUAUACGAUGGAUCCGCGUCUGAUUAGCUUGUUGGCGGGGUAACAGCCCACCAAGGCGACGAUCAGUAGCCGGCCUGAGAGGGUGAACGGCCACAUUGGGACUGAGACACGGCCCAAACUCCUACGGGAGGCAGCAG
This 255-nucleotide ribosomal RNA is filed under the name uncultured bacterium. RNAcentral describes it as "partial 16S ribosomal RNA". It matches the Rfam family "Bacterial small subunit ribosomal RNA", at positions 99 to 354 of the family's 1533-position model. The record is from RNAcentral.